This 1342-nucleotide ribosomal RNA is filed under the name uncultured bacterium. RNAcentral's name for it is "bacterial SSU rRNA". It matches the Rfam family "Bacterial small subunit ribosomal RNA", at positions 28 to 1381 of the family's 1533-position model. The record is from RNAcentral.
GAUGAACGCUGGCGGCGUGCUUAACACAUGCAAGUCGAACGAUGAAGCCCAGCUUGCUGGGUGGAUUAGUGGCGAACGGGUGAGUAACACGUGAGUAACCUGCCCUUAACUCUGGGAUAAGCCUGGGAAACUGGGUCUAAUACCGGAUAGGAGCGCCUACCGCAUGGUGGGUGUCGGAAAGAUUUAUCGGUUUUGGAUGGACUCGCGGCCUAUCAGCUUGUUGGUGAGGUAAUGGCUCACCAAGGCGACGACGGGUAGCCGGCCUGAGAGGGUGACCGGCCACACUGGGACUGAGACACGGCCCAGACUCCUACGGGAGGCAGCAGUGGGGAAUAUUGCACAAUGGGCGCAAGCCUGAUGCAGCGACGCCGCGUGAGGGAUGACGGCCUUCGGGUUGUAAACCUCUUUCAGUAGGGAAGAAGCGAAAGUGACGGUACCUGCAGAAGAAGCACCGGCUAACUACGUGCCAGCAGCCGCGGUAAUACGUAGGGUGCGAGCGUUAUCCGGAAUUAUUGGGCGUAAAGAGCUCGUAGGCGGUUUGUCGCGUCUGUCGUGAAAGUCCGGGGCUUAACCCCGGAUCUGCGGUGGGUACGGGCAGACUAGAGUGCAGUAGGGGAGACUGGAAUUCCUGGUGUAGCGGUGGAAUGCGCAGAUAUCAGGAGGAACACCGAUGGCGAAGGCAGGUCUCUGGGCUGUAACUGACGCUGAGGAGCGAAAGCAUGGGGAGCGAACAGGAUUAGAUACCCUGGUAGUCCAUGCCGUAAACGUUGGGCACUAGGUGUGGGGACCAUUCCACGGUUUCCGCGCCGCAGCUAACGCAUUAAGUGCCCCGCCUGGGGAGUACGGCCGCAAGGCUAAAACUCAAAGGAAUUGACGGGGCCCGCACAAGCGGCGGAGCAUGCGGAUUAAUUCGAUGCAACGCGGAGAACCUUACCAAGGCUUGACAUGUUCUCGAUCGCCGUAGAGAUACGGUUUCCCCUUUGGGGCGGGUUCACAGGUGGUGCAUGGUUGUCGUCAGCUCGUGUCGUGAGAUGUUGGGUUAAGUCCCGCAACGAGCGCAACCCUCGUUCCAUGUUGCCAGCACGUAAUGGUGGGGACUCAUGGGAGACUGCCGGGGUCAACUCGGAGGAAGGUGAGGACGACGUCAAAUCAUCAUGCCCCUUAUGUCUUGGGCUUCACGCAUGCUACAAUGGCCGGUACAAUGGGUUGCGAUACUGUGAGGUGGAACUAAUCCCAAAAAGCCGGUCUCAGUUCGGAUUGGGGUCUGCAACUCGACCCCAUGAAGUCGGAGUCGCUAGUAAUCGCAGAUCAGCAACGCUGCGGUGAAUACGUUCCCGGGCCU